AGGCAUGCACCACCGCACCCAGCUAAUUUUUAAUUUUUCAGAGAUGGAGCUCGCUGUGUUGCCUAGGCUGGUCUUGAAUUCCUGGUUUCAAGCAAUCCUCCCACUGCAGCCUUCCAAAGUGCUGGGCGUACAAGCAUAAGCUACUGUGCCCAGCUGUCAGAUACUAAGCCUUACUUAUGCCCCAAACUCCAGCCCACAGAUACUCUUCACCAAAGCCCCUGGCUGCUCUAGCCCAUCAUGACUUCUCUAGGAACAGUCCUUCAUUAGGACUAUAAAGUAUUGACAAAAGUCUGUAGAUUAAGGGGCCUGCAUAAAAUUCUGGCUAUAGGCCCCUUUCUUUCCCAAGUUCCUCUCAAACAUUCCUUGGGGUCCUCAUAUGUUUUUGAAGCAGCUUCACUCUGCACAGGCAGCAGGAGGUUGGGGGAGCCAUAGCUCUGGGCUAUGGGGGCAGAUUUAUUUGGAUGAUAGGACUAAUAUUUGUGUAACCUGCUGAGACCUGUGUGGGAGAGUUUAGGGUGGAUUUUCUUUUGGUGAGGGGAUUUGCUCUGGUUUCACAUCCAUUAACACAAAACAUGAGCUAGUCAGGGCCCUUGUGGUCUGCGGAGAGGGGAUGGCUGUGGAGAAAUGGGCCUGAGUGAGUCAGGCUGAGAGAAUGUCUUCCUUCAGAGUGGAGUUAACUGGAUAACCGAUGAGCCAAUCGUGGGAUUAAGGGGGGGAAAUGGGAGGGGAAGAGAAGAGCUAACAUCUUGAGGAAAGCUCUGGGGUAGUGGAGAGGUAAGGGGAUCAUGGUCAGUCUGAAUGUAACAGUAGGGCUGAAUGAACUUACCAAAGGAGGCUGCCUUAUAUUAUAUGCCAGGCUGCUGGGGAAAGGCUCAGGUCCUAGCCAGCCCCUGU
Molecule: long non-coding RNA, 894 nt
Organism: Sapajus apella (tufted capuchin)
Lineage: Eukaryota; Metazoa; Chordata; Mammalia; Primates; Cebidae
Exons: 3
Source: RefSeq, a predicted model, not a curated record